UGGGAAUUUGGACAAUGGGCGAAAGCCUGAUCCAGCAAUGCCGCGUGUGUGAAGAAGGCCUUCGGGUUGUAAAGCACUUUUGUCCGGAAAGAAAUCCUUGGCUCUAAUACAGUCGGGGGAUGACGGUACCGGAAGAAUAAGCACCGGCUAACUACGUGCCAGCAGCCGCGGUAAUACGUAGGGUGCAAGCGUUAAUCGGAAUUACUGGGCGUAAAGCGUGCGCAGGCGGUUUGCUAAGACCGAUGUGAAAUCCCCGGGCUCAACCUGGGAACUGCAUUGGUGACUGGCAGGCUAGAGUAUGGCAGAGGGGGGUAGAAUUCCACGUGUAGCAGUGAAAUGCGUAGAGAUGUGGAGGAAUACCGAUGGCGAAGGCAGCCCCCUGGGCCAAUACUGACGCUCAUGCACGAAAGCGUGGGGAGCAAACAGGAUUAGAUACCCUGGUAGUCCACGCCCUAAA
Molecule: ribosomal RNA, 457 nt
Filed under: uncultured bacterium
Lineage: Bacteria
Description: partial 16S ribosomal RNA
Rfam family: Bacterial small subunit ribosomal RNA
Source: RNAcentral